RNA transcript from Symphalangus syndactylus (siamang), 4442 nucleotides. It is a transcript of the gene named odr-4 GPCR localization factor homolog, with no coding region annotated. The record is from RefSeq and is a predicted model, not a curated record. NCBI's taxonomy places the organism in Eukaryota, Metazoa, Chordata, Mammalia, Primates, Hylobatidae.
GAGGUGUGGGAAGUAGGUCGCUUUCUGAUGAAUUAAGUGGCAGUGAAUUGAGACCAGAGGGAAUCUGGCCCCUAGAGGCUGGUACUUGCGCCCGAAACCCCCAUCUGCUCCGGAGAGACAGUCCGAGGUAAUUGUCUGCCACGAGUGCACAUUCUGAAAACAGUAUAGGAGAUUUUAGUUCUAAAAAUGGGAAGAACCUAUAUUGUAGAAGAGACUGUUGGCCAGUAUCUUUCAAACAUAAAUCUCCAAGGAAAGGCUUUUGUCUCUGGCCUUUUAAUAGGACAGUGUUCGUCACAAAAGGAUUAUGUGAUUCUUGCCACUAGAACGCCACCCAAAGAGGAGCAAAGUGAGAACCUCAAACAUCCCAAAGCUAAGUUGGAUAACUUGGAUGAAGAAUGGGCCACAGAACAUGCCUGCCAGGUAUCCAGAAUGCUACCAGGGGGACUUUUAGUUCUUGGAGUAUUUAUUAUUACUACUUUAGAACUGGCAAGUGAUUUUCAAAAUGCCCUGCGUAGACUAAUGUUUGCUGUGGAAAAGUCUAUAAAUAGAAAGAGAUUGUGGAAUUUCACAGAGGAGGAAGUCUCAGAACGAGUGACACUUCACAUUUGUGCUUCUACAAAAAAAAUAUUCUGUCGAACUUAUGAUAUCCAUGAUCCAAAGAGUUCAGCAAGACCAGCAGAUUGGAAGUAUCAAAGUGGAUUAUCAUCCUCAUGGCUUUCUUUAGAGUGUACAGUUCACAUUAAUAUUCACAUCCCACUUUCUGCUACUUCUGUCAGCUAUACUCUGGAGAAAAAUACAAAGAAUGGACUUACACGCUGGGCCAAGGAAAUAGAAAAUGGUGUUUAUUUGAUUAAUGGACAAGUUAAAGGUGAAGAUUGUGACCUAUUAGAAGGACAGAAAAAAUCUUCUAGAGGAAAUACUCAAGCAACUAGUCUUUCUUUUGAUGUCAGAGUGCUAACGCAGUUGCUCCUGAAUUCAGACCACAGAUCCACAGCCACAGUCCAGAUAUGUAGCGGUUCUGUAAACCUUAAAGGUGCUGUGAAAUGCAGAGCUUAUAUUCACAGCAGUAAACCCAAAGUUAAAGAUGCUGUGCAGGCAGUAAAGAGGGAUAUAUUGAACACAGUUGCUGAUCGUUGUGAAAUACUAUUUGAGGAUCUGCUUUUGAAUGAAAUUCCAGGAAAAAAAGAUUCUGAAAAAGAGUUCCAUGUCCUCCCUUAUCGAGUCUUUGUUCCCCUUCCUGGAUCCACUGUAAUGUUGUGUGAUUAUAAAUUUGACGAUGAGUCAGCUGAAGAAAUCAGGGACCAUUUUAUGGAGAUGUUGGAUCAUACAAUUCAGAUAGAAGAUUUGGAAAUUGCAGAGGAAACAAACACAGUCUAGUAUAGAGAUGGAUUAACAGUAGGAAGAGUUUAAUAUUACAAGAACAAAGGAAGCAAAACAGCAAUUUGGAAAGUUUAGAGUCUUGCUCUGUUGCCCAGGCUGGAGUGCACUGGCACUAUCUUGGCUCACUGCAAGCUCCGCCUCCUGGGUUCACGUCAUUCUCCUGCGUCAGCCUCCUGAGUAUCUGGGACUACAGGUGCCUGCCACCAUACCCGGCUAAUUUUUUUGUAUUUUUAGUAGAGACAGGGUUUCACCAUGUUAGCCAGGAUGGUCUCCAUCUCCUGACCUCGUGACCUGCCCGCCUCGGCCUCCCAAAGUGCUGGGAUUACAAGCAUGAGCCACCGCGUCCGGCCAAAAAAUACCUUUUUAACAGAGAGAUUUGCUCAUAGAAGAGCCGAAGUUUGUUUUUGUUUUUAUUUAAUGUAAAAUUGUAUUACCCAUUCAACUUUUAGACCUAUGGACUGAAGCUGGAAGAAAUUUUAAAUUACUGGGCUAAUAUAGUCUAGAACUGAGGUAUUAUAGCCCUUGAGAAAACUAGAAACUGGAAAUAUAGAAGACUAGAUAUUCUUAGACAGUUCAUAAGAAUUUGUUGUUGUUUGUGACUGGUUUGAUGUGAGAAUAGAAAAAAAAACAGGGGAGGGUUUUUUUGUUGUUUGUUUUUAAAGUAUUUUAGUUAUAUACUUGAAGAAGAAAAAGAAAAAAGAAUAGUGGUGCCCUUAAUUCUAAUAAGAUAGUUACUAGGGAUUAUUUAUGAAAAUCAUAAACUUUGAUUUAUGAGAAAUUAAUGAGAAGUAGGUAAUUUUUUUUCUUUUUCAUCCAUUUUAGUAUCACAGAUACCUAUUUCAGUAAGUUUAUAUGUCAUUCUUUUGAGCUUGUGCUGUUAUAUUGGGGUGCAAAGAUAUGUAUAAGAACAUUGUAAAUUCAACAAUAGGCUAUUUUACUUUAAAUUUAAACAGUAAUAUUUACUAUCUCUCUUGAGUUCUCUCUCUUUUUUUGGGGUGGGGUGAGGGUAAAUAAACAGAUAAAUCUAAAAAUCUAAAUAAACAGAUAAAUGCUUUCAUAAUCUAGUUCCCUGGAGUUCUACAGAGUAGCAUUCUCCUGUCACCCCUAGGAUGGAAGAAAGAAGCUGAUCUGACUCUAGGAGUCCUCCCUCCCAGCUUCAGCCUGGGUAGCAUACUUCUAUCUUUUUUACACACUGGGAAUUUCUGUCAGAUUUUCUUUGUUUUCAUAGGAUUCUUCAGUCCUAGGGGAAAAAAACUGAAAACUAUUAGCCUGUGUGGUCUCUGAGGAUGUUAUCAGUUCACACACUUUCAUUCAGCAUUAAAUAAAUUCGGAUAGGCCAACCUGCAUAAAUUGCUGUCAGCAUAAUGAAAUAGAAAGAGAACUUGUGUCCAAAUCAUCAGUCAAAUGCCUGUGAUGGUCAAAAUGCACUUUAACCUCCCAGGUUAUGUUUUCCAUUUGUAAAAUGCGAUGAUGUCCUUGCCUUGCUUACCAUUCAGAGUUGUUUUAAGGUCAAAUUUUUGAUCAUAGUUUAAAUUUCAAGUUGGAUCAAGAGUCAGCAAACUUUUUGUUUUAUACAAAUAAAUAUUUUAGGCUUUGUGAGCCACAUAAGUUCUCUUUCACAUUCUUUUUUUUUUUUACAGUCUUUUAAAAAUAUAAAAAAUAGAUUUUUAGUUUGAGAGCUUUUACAAAAAUAGAUCAGGAGCCAGAGGCCCAUGUACUGCAGUGUGCUGGUCAGUGGUUUUAUUAUUAAUAUCUGAUUAUUUGAAAUUAUUAAUUGCUAAAACCACCAAUAAUGAUAUAAAUUAGGCUGGGCAUGGUGGUUCACACCUGUAAUCCCAGCACUUUGGGAGGCCGAGGCAGGCAGAUCACUUGUGGUCAGGAGUUUGAGACCAGCCUGGCCAACAUGGUGAAAUCCCGUCUAUACUGAAAAUACAAAAAUUAGGCCAGGCGUGAUGGCUCAUGGCUGUAAUCCCAGCACUUUGGGAGGCCAAGGUGGGCAGAUUACCUGAGGUCAGGAGUUAGGGACGAGCCUGGCCAACAUGGCAAAACCCUGUCUUUACUAAAAAUACAAAAGUUAGUGGGGCAUAGUGGUGCACCCCUGUAGUCCCAGCUACUCGGGAGGCUAAGGCAGGAGAAUUGCUUGAACCUGGAAGGUGGAGGUUGCAGUGAGCCGAGAUCAGGCCAUUGCACUCCAGCCUAGGCGACAGAGCAAGACUCUGUCUCAAAUAAAUUAAAUUAAAAUGCAAAAAUUAGCCAGGUGUGGUGGCAGGCGGCUGUAAUCCCAGCUACUCAGGAGGUUGAGGCAGGAGAAUCACUUGAACCUGGGAGUCAGAGGUUGCAGUGAGCUGAGAUCAUGCCACCACACUGCAGCCUGGGUGACACAGUAGGAUUCUGUCUCAAAAAGAAAAAAAAAAAAAAAAGUAAAUUAAUCUCAAGAGUGAAGUUUACUCUGCUAUGAAUUUUGGUAUAAAUUUAUCUCUACUACUAUAUAGUAAACGAAUUAUUAUUAUUGUUAUUUUUUUUUUGAGACAGAGUCUCGCCCAGGCUGGAGUGCAGUGGUGCAAUCUCGGCUCACUGUAACCUCCGUCUCCCGGGUUCAAGCAAUUCUCCUGCCUCAGCCUCCCAAGUAGCUGGGACUACAUGUGCACGCUGCCCCGCCCGUGUAAUUUUUUGUAUUUUAGUAGAGAUGGAGUUUCACUGUGUUGCCCAGGCUGGUCUUGAACUCCUGAGCUCAGGCACUCUUCCUGCCUCAGCCUCCCAAAGUGCUGGGAUUACAGGCGUCAGCCACCAUGCCUGGCCAACAAAUUAUAAUUUUUGAAAGUCAUUCAGAACUGGCUGUGUGGCCCUCUGGUGUAGUUCAAUGAUAAAGCUACAUUGUUUUGAAAACUCUCAAUUUGACAUAUAUUCUAUUAAAUUUAAUUCACCUGCAAUUGAUAAUGAACAAAUUCAUUAUGUUAUAUAAAAAACAAGUAGAAUGAAAAUGGUGUUGUAUAGUUUUUUAUAAUGUUCUUUAAAACUCAGUUUCAUGUGUUAAUUCUUAUUUUAUGUGGAAUUUAUUAUUA